Molecule: long non-coding RNA, 525 nt
Filed under: Salvia miltiorrhiza (redroot sage)
Lineage: Eukaryota; Viridiplantae; Streptophyta; Magnoliopsida; Lamiales; Lamiaceae
Description: long non-coding RNA (SMIL_LNC008713)
Source: RNAcentral
UGAUUGGUUGUUGCUUUUCGCCGCCGCGUAUUCGCAGAAUAUAACUGAAAAGAGGCAAACAUUGCAUCUUAUGCUCUGAUGGUGAACGUCUAUCCAUUCUUUGUAAGGAUGCCAAAUCUUUCUCCACUCCUAAAAUUCUAAGGGUGAUUCUGUUCAUAGCCCUCAUUUUACUCUUUAUAGCCCAUUUUCUAGAAUAUUAAUAAUAAUUAAUUAAAAAUUUACUGUUUUAUCUUAUAUUUUAUAGCCCCCAAUUUUUAUUUUUAUUUUUAUCACCUUUUAUAGCCCCCAAUUAAAUUAAUUAUAAUUAUUAUGUUUUGUUUUGUAGACUCUUACGCUUUUCCUGUUGUUGGAGUUUUUUCUUCUAAAAUUUUAAUUGUUCAUUGUUUAUUGAUCUUCAUCUUCUUCAGGACCCCCUCCUCCGCCGCCAUGUGUAGCGAGUGAUGGCUGGAAUCGCAGAAGAAGACCAAAGGAGCUAUAAAAUAUAUAUUUGCAAUUGUGUUGUUCAAAUUUUCAAGAAUCAAGAGG